RNAcentral lists this ribosomal RNA (322 nucleotides) under Acanthamoeba sp. Its description in RNAcentral is "SSU rRNA". It matches the Rfam family "Eukaryotic small subunit ribosomal RNA", at positions 796 to 1087 of the family's 1831-position model. The record is from RNAcentral. Lineage: Eukaryota; Discosea; Longamoebia; Acanthamoebidae.
CGAAUACAUUAGCAUGGGAUAAUGGAAUAGGACCCUGUCCUCCUAUUUUCAGUUGGUUUUGGCAGCGCGAGGACUAGGGUAAUGAUUAAUAGGGAUAGUUGGGGGCAUUAAUAUUUAAUUGUCAGAGGUGAAAUUCUUGGAUUUAUGAAAGAUUAACUUCUGCGAAAGCAUCUGCCAAGGAUGUUUUCAUUAAUCAAGAACGAAAGUUAGGGGAUCGAAGACGAUCAGAUACCGUCGUAGUCUUAACCAUAAACGAUGCCGACCAGCGAUUAGGAGACGUUGAAUACAAAACACCACCAUCGGCGCGGUCGUCCUUGGCGUC